RNAcentral lists this ribosomal RNA (447 nucleotides) under uncultured bacterium. RNAcentral describes it as "bacterial SSU rRNA". It matches the Rfam family "Bacterial small subunit ribosomal RNA", at positions 354 to 796 of the family's 1533-position model. The record is from RNAcentral.
GUUGGGAAUCUUGCGCAAUGGGGGCAACCCUGACGCAGCGACGCCGCGUGAGCGAAGAAGGCCUUCGGGUUGUAAAGCUCUGUCAGAAGGGAAGAACGCAUAGGAUUUAUAAUCCGGUGUUGACGGUACCUUCAGAGGAAGCACCGGCUAACUCUGUGCCAGCAGCCGCGGUAAUACAGAGGGUGCAAGCGUUGUUCGGAAUCACUGGGCGUAAAGAGUUCGUAGGUGGACUUAUUAGUAUGGGGUUAAAUACCGGAGCCUAACUCCGGAUCUGCUUCGUAAACGGUAAGUCUAGAGUACUAGAGAGGAUAGCGGAAUUCCUGGUGUAGAGGUGAAAUUCGUAGAUAUCAGGAGGAACAUCUGAGGCGAAGGCGGCUAUCUGGCUAGGCACUGACACUAAAGAACGAAAGCAUGGGGAUCAAACAGGAUUAGAAACCCCAGUAGUCC